GACAUACUAAAUCAUGAACAAAGAUAAAAAAAACCCAUACAAGUUUGAUGAUAAAUCAAGAACAAAUUUAUCACUAAAAUAGAUUCUAAUAUAUAAAGAUAUAAAUUUCACGAAGAAUAAAACUAACCUGACAAAAAUCCUCUUGAUUUCGUGAUUUUACAACUUUUUAAAAAGUAACUUACCGAAGACCAUAUAUGAAGGCGUCGUCUUAAUCUCAAAUCUGUUGGAGUUUGAGAGCCGCCUCUUAUUUGAUUACAAAUUACAAAUAGAGCAAUUACGAACCCAGCCGCUGCUCCGCGUUAUUUGGAUCGCACAUAAUCUAUGAUGAAGGGGAAGGUGAUCCAGCCUCCUCGUUUGGCUGUGGAAGACCCAAGCAUUGGAAAAAAA
This 387-nucleotide long non-coding RNA is filed under the name Daucus carota (carrot). RNAcentral's name for it is "long non-coding RNA (DCAR_LNC000273)". Lineage: Eukaryota; Viridiplantae; Streptophyta; Magnoliopsida; Apiales; Apiaceae. The record is from RNAcentral.